Molecule: ribosomal RNA, 468 nt
Filed under: uncultured bacterium
Lineage: Bacteria
Description: partial 16S ribosomal RNA
Rfam family: Bacterial small subunit ribosomal RNA
Source: RNAcentral
GACGAACGCUGGCGGCGUGCUUAACACAUGCAAGUCGAACGGAAAGGCCCUGCUUUUGUGGGGUGCUCGAGUGGCGAACGGGUGAGUAACACGUGAGUAACCUGCCCUUGACUUUGGGAUAACUUCAGGAAACUUGGGCUAAUAUCGGAUAGGAGCUCCUGCUGCAUGGUGGGGGUUGGAAAGUUUCGGCUGUAGGGGAUGGACUCGCGGCUUAUCAGCUUGUUGGUGGGGUAGUGGCUUACCAAGGCAUUGACGGGUAGCCGGCCUGAGAGGGUGACCGGCCACAAUGGUACUAAGAUACGGCCCAGACUCCUACGGUGGGCAGCAGUGGGAAAUAUUGCACAGUGGGCGGAAGCCUGAUGCAGCGACGCCGCGUGCGGGAUGACGGUCUGCGGGUUAUAAACCGCUUUCGGCUGUGACGAAGCGUGAGUGACGGUAAUGGGUGAAGAAGCACCGGCUAACUACGUG